CUGAACUAUCCACUACCAGGCUAUCAUUUGACACUAUUCGCAUCGCGAGAAAUCUUGACUCCAAAUUAUGCUGUAAAUCUCAUCACUGGGGAGAUUGUCCCUACAGACCAUUUCAGUAUAGACGGGAAAAACUGAUAUAUCUUCAGGAGUAGUUGUUGAUCGGGAGAUGCUUCGACGAAGACAUUGGCCAAGUUGACGAUGAAAAGGAAGGGAAUAACAAUCUGAUAAUAGCCGGAGGGCGGUGGCGAAGCUUGGAAGAUCGGCACCAAAAGGGGCCUGGAAUUUGG
This 287-nucleotide unclassified non-coding RNA is filed under the name Hevea brasiliensis (rubber tree). The record is from RNAcentral. Lineage: Eukaryota; Viridiplantae; Streptophyta; Magnoliopsida; Malpighiales; Euphorbiaceae.